Molecule: ribosomal RNA, 140 nt
Filed under: uncultured eukaryote
Lineage: Eukaryota
Description: partial 18S ribosomal RNA
Rfam family: Eukaryotic small subunit ribosomal RNA
Source: RNAcentral
UGGUGGAGUGAUUUGUCUGGUUAAUUCCGUUAACGAACGAGACCUUAGCCUGCUAAAUAGCUACGUUUAACUGCGGUUAUACGGGCAGCUUCUUAGAGGGACUGUUCGCGUCUAGCGCACGGAAGUUUGAGGCAAUAACA